This 200-nucleotide ribosomal RNA is filed under the name uncultured organism. RNAcentral describes it as "partial small subunit ribosomal RNA". It matches the Rfam family "Bacterial small subunit ribosomal RNA", at positions 1184 to 1382 of the family's 1533-position model. The record is from RNAcentral.
GUCAAGUCCUCAUGGCCCUUAUGGGCUGGGCUACACACGUGCUACAAUGGCGGUGACAAUGGGCAGCGAUCCAGCAAUGGUGAGCUAAUCUCCAAAAGCCGUCUCAGUUCGGAUUGUCCUCUGCAACUCGACUCCAUGAAGGCGGAGUCGCUAGUAAUCGCAGAUCAGCAACGCUGCGGUCGAAUACGUUCCCGGGCCUU